AAAAAUAUGCUCCGAACAAAAGUAUCUAAGGGAAAUUAAGCCUAUGAUGCUGCGUCAAGACAGAAUCUUCUAGUCUUCAGGGUUGACUUAGGAAACGAAUCAGCCUUCCAUGUUUGAAAAGGAGUAGUUUU
This 131-nucleotide non-coding RNA is filed under the name uncultured Clostridium sp. Its description in RNAcentral is "Moco (molybdenum cofactor) riboswitch". It matches the Rfam family "Molybdenum/Tungsten riboswitch aptamer (Moco RNA motif)", at positions 6 to 126 of the family's 135-position model. Lineage: Bacteria; Bacillati; Bacillota; Clostridia; Eubacteriales; Clostridiaceae. The record is from RNAcentral.